Lytechinus pictus (painted urchin) is the source of this 966-nucleotide long non-coding RNA. RefSeq lists it as uncharacterized. NCBI's taxonomy places the organism in Eukaryota, Metazoa, Echinodermata, Echinoidea, Temnopleuroida, Toxopneustidae. The transcript is spliced from 3 exons. The record is from RefSeq and is a predicted model, not a curated record.
UCAAGCUGUUUUCGCUCCGGGACGAUCACACUUUUUCACAGCUCAGAUUGGCAUGUUGGUGAACUUAUUAGCUUAGAUUUCACGUUAUUCAUGCCUACAUGAGCUGCAUACAACUGCUCUAAUCGGUAGGAUGUGGACGGACAUUGCAUUCAUUCCCAUUCAGCCGUUGGACUGAACCUGUACUGUCUGUAACACAGUAUGGAUGGUCAAUAUGAAGCGAGCUUCAUUGAAUUCCUCCAAGAGCUCUGUACUCCGUUCAGACCAUUUUGAAGAUGGUUGCUUUGACAGGACUGGGCAAGUGACUCGUCUUAGACAGGAUGCUGUCCCAACCAUGUUUGAUUUCCUGCCUCGUCUUCAGAAGAAUUCACCCAAGCCUAGGAAUUCCCCGAAAGAAAGACGUUUUGAUUCAGCAAACAACCUCCCAGAUACUGCAAAGUCUUCAGCACCUUCAUUUCUCGAGGACCACUCCUACUCAAUAUCAGAAAGUCCAAGAGAGGUAAAGUGGAAGAUAACAGCAAUAAUGGACUGUAUUAAGAACUUGGAGAAGAGGCUGAAAACCACACACGAGAAGUCCCGCUGUGUACAUUACUUGCUCUUAAGUUUGGACAAACAUAACUUGCAAAACUUUACAACAAAUAAUUACCCCAAUGUGCAUUCUGAUUAUUUAAAAUAGCUCAAUGAAAUAGUUUAUCAGUGGGCAUGUAACAAAAGUGAAUUCAUUAAAUUUGAACGUGUUGCAAAAAUGAUGUCUUACAGUAUAUUCAUUCUGACUUAGAAUGUCAGAAGAGAAAAAAGUUUGUGAAAAGUAGGAAUGACGGCAAGAUGACAGAAGAAUAGAACAGGAUAGAGCAAGGGGGACAGAUAAAGGACAAGUCCACCCCAAAAAUUGUUGAUAUGAAUAAAAAGAGAAAAAUCCAACAAGCAUAACACUGAAAAUUUGAUAAAAAAUCGGAUGUAAAAUAAGAA